AAUAUUAAAACUUCAAAAACCUUAUUUUUACAAUGCAAUAAAGUUUUACAAAGUUGUCCCAUUGUAGGCAGACCUAUGCCAACCUACUUGUAAAAGUCCAAGGAAGCUGAGAGGACAAAUAAUGUGGCUGACAUAUACAGUUCCUCAGAAAGAAACAUAUAAACAUAUAAUGGGCAUUUACAAUCAGAAGCCAUGUCUGUUUCUUAGGGAGCAGCAAAACAGGAUGGUGAGUCUGCAUGCUAUUGUGGCCCAGACCCAAGGAAAGAAUAUAUGUGCUUCAGAAGGGGUGUAUAGGACAGUUGCUUAAAGGUAGGAUUAAUUGUAAGUAUGAUAACAUCAAAGUUGUCUUUACCCAAGGGCAGGAUUCACAGUAAGUACAUGCUCUUACACAAGGAAGAGUAGAUAUAGCAGAAAUCUUAGAGGGCUUCUCCAAACCAGUGUUAAUCAGAAGUCAACAUGAUGGAUUAGUAUCCAAGAUGGAGUUGCUUUAGCCUUCACAAAAGUAGCUACUUAGGUCAAGACAUCAGCACACUUAAAACCUUGCUCAUGCCUCCAUUCAGUCAUUAAACGUCUCAAGGAAAUGAUAUUUUUACUUCUAUCAUCAUGCUAUGGCUUGAAUGUCCCCUCCAAAAUUCAUGCUGAAAUUUAAUUGCCAUUGUAAUAGUGUUGAGAGAUGGGACCUUUAAGAGAUGAUUAGGUCAUAAAGGCUCUGUCCUCAUGAAUGGAUUUAUGCUGUUAUUGCAGGGGUAGGUUAGUUUUCUUGAGAGUAAUUUCAUGAUAAAAGGAAGAAGUCUGGCCUUCAUCCUCUCUGACUCAUGUACUUGCUUGCCCUUCUGCUUUCCACCAUGGAAUGAUGCAGCAUGAAGGCCUUUGCCAGAAUUAGGUGCCAUGCUCUUGAACCCCUCAGCCUCCAUAACUGAAUCUAGCAGCCCAAAGGGACAUUGCAAAUAGUAAAGAUGUGGGCUACGGAACAGCAGGCUUAAAACUCCCUAUCAAAGUGGGAAAUAAAAGGUCAUUCUCAAAGUGGCAGCCAAAGAGAUAUACUAACAAACAACAUUGAUGAGAAGGAGAUUCUGUUAAUAGGAGGAAGGAAAAGCAUCAAAGGCCCCCAAGUCUCAUACAGGGCUACUCCUUCAACCUGGGUUCCAGAAGGAAGAAGACAUGGAGCAAAACUGUAUGGACAAUGUAAUGUGAACAAGAAAUAAAGCAUCAUUUUUGUAAUAAUUUGCAGGGAAACUCAUGUUAAUGUUAUUCCACUAGACUAAAUCACCCUCCCCACCAAUUUGGCUGAUUUAUUCAGGCCCCAGCUGUCUGACCCAUGCUUCAAGUGCCAUCUCUUAUAAGAAGUCUUCAGUGAUUCCUCUAGCUAAACGUAAUCCUACCUACUGCAUAGAAUUGUUAGGAAGAGUAAAGAACAAAUUUAUCAUUCAUUUUUCCAGACACUGGACAUACACUAAUCAAGAAAAAGACAAAAAAUCUCUCAUGAAGUUUACAUUAUAGUGAAAGAAACCAACAAUUAAAAAUGUAAGUAAAAUGUAUUAUGUGUAGAGCUAAAUGCUUAGGAGAAUAAAACAGAAAAAAGUGAUAUGAGAUAAGCAUAUGUGGUUGAAAUUUAUAUAGGACGAUUGGGAAAGGUCUCAUUGAGAAAGUGAUUUUUGAUUAACAAUCAGUAAGUAAGAAGGUGAGCUCUAUGGGGAUCUGGCAAAGAAGAACUCCGGGCAAAGGAAAAAGAAAAUACAAAAUUCUCUAAACAGGACUUGUGUUUGGAAUAUUGGAGGAACAGUGAGUAGGUGUGUGGCUAGAGUAAAUGAGUGAGGGGUAACAAAUAGAGAACGAGGUCAAGAGAUCAGAUACGUAGAUUAUAUAAGGACUCAGUUAUCAAAUACUCCAAUCAAUCGGUUAUUAGCAAUUAGUUUUUAUAAUUAACAAUAAAUAUUUCCCUACUUGAGCACUCAAAGUGCACUUUAAUGGUACCUCCUUAAUGGUGCUUAUCAUUCUCUUUCUGGCAUUCAUGGCUAUUCUUUUCUAUCAGAUCAUAAGAUUAAAUCUUACUUAUCAUUUUGUACCUUUCAACAUUACACUGAACAAAUUGCUGCCCACAAAGUUAUGAGACUAAAACCCGAAUCACUUAAUUGACCUUUACUGGUGUUUUUAUCAUAGAAAAAUGGCCAUAAACAUGGCUCACUCUCACAUCAGCCAAAGAAGGAUUCACUGAAAUUUUACAAGUUUUAUUUAGUCACCGUCCAAACACCUGAUGAUUGACCCUAUGUAGAUAUGUACUUUUCUAAAUUUUGUUUGAGACUAUUAAUGUUCUCUACAAGUUGCCUAGAUGGUCCAUAUUCAUUCAGUAAGUCAGCAAAUGCAAUUCAAUGACUACCACAUGCCAAGCAUUAUGAGGAUACAGUGGUCAAUAUGAUAGACAUUAUCUCUGUUCUCUAAAACUUACACUCCAGUGGGGAAAACAUUCAAUUUUGUAGUUGUAAUGCUUCUGAUAUAAAAGUGAAUGUUUUUGCUUCUAGACUAAAUUAACAUUUAACUAUGAAAGUUAAUGGUAAAUAACAACUACCAUUUACAGAGCUUUUAUGUGCGCCAAGCAUGUGUGAAAUACUUUAUAGGUAUUGCUCUAUUUAAUAUUCAUACAAUCUAGAGAAGUAGAUAUCAUUCCUAUUUUCUAAAUGAAAACACUGGGGCACUGAUAGUUUUAAAAUUUUGUUUCUGAAAUACAGACAGUGUUUUGCAGAACUGAGAUUUCAACCUAAAUCUGCCUAACUUCAAUGUCUUAUUCUUAACCUCAUAGACUGUGUUUCUAACCAGUUACCUCUUUAGUGUAUUAUAUGAAGUUUUGUAUAUAUUAAUUACUUUAGUAUGGCAAAAUGUCAGGAAGAAGUAGGGGUUAAUUUUGGGCUUCCCGUAACAGUUUUCUCAUCAUGUCUGAGCACUGUAAAUGUCCUAAAAUAUCCAAGUUAUCAGAUGUUACUUCAUGUGAUAUUGAAAAUUAGUGUGUGAGUGACCGUAAGGAGAGCAGUAAGAGUAUAAGUAGGAUUCAGGACAACUCAAAGAUAGCCCAAGCAUAUUAAUUCUUAGUGAAGGUAAUACCUAAUUAUUCUAAUUAGUUGUUAUUUCGAGGAUUUUUUGUAUAUGUCUUCACAAACACUUCAUUGUUGCUUGAGCUAAUUUUAAGAAUGCAAUUUAAGAUACCAUGUCAUAAUGAAGCAGCAUCAUUGUCUGGGGUAAAUACCCAAGGUUCAUUGUCCUCCUCCAAGAAGAUUAAGAACACAAACACACAUGAGGAGUGAAUUUAGGAGCAGAGGUUUCAUAGGCAAAUGAAAGAGAAAGGAGAGCACCUCGCUCUCUCUCUUGUGAGAGAGGGGAAUCCAAAAGGGAAAAGCUGGCCUGCAGCGGACGGUAGCAGAUUUUGUAGGCAGGCUUGAGGAGGUGGUGUCUGAUUUACAUAGGGCUCACAGAUUGGUUUGACAGAUGUGACAUUUACAUAGCAUGUGGGGAAGGCUGGUUGCCCCACCCUAAUCUUAUUAAGCAAAUAGUCUUUCCACUUGGCCAGCGCCAUCUUGUCUGAUCCUUACUGUACACGUGGCUGGCCAAGAGAAGAGAAGAUGGAGCGGCCAUUUUGAUCAUGCCUAGUCCCAGAAUAUAUCAGCUGUGAAAAUAAGUGAAAGAAAGAUUUUCUUAUCUCCAACAUUUCUGGGAAGGGGUGUGUCUGUGGAUUUUAUGUUACUGGAAAGAGACAAUCCAGUAGUCCACUUUGUCAGGAGUGUUUCAAACAACAUCUGUGAACCCACUGGACUUCAAGCUCCUACAGGCUAGAGAUUUGGUCUAUUUCAUCUGCAUUGUGAAAGGUCCUGGAGACUGAGAAUCAGGAAUUACUAGACUAUAAUGGAUGAGAUUUAUAAAAAAUAAGAUGAAGGUAAGCAGCUGUGCACAGCUGCUCUGCUAUAUUGGGAGGAAACUAGAACAAAGACACAAAACAAGAGUUGCAAGGGUAUAUGUACAUGUUCUGCCUGUGUUUAAGAGCCUAUCUAUGUUGCAUUUUGAGUUAUCUUGCUGGAGGAUAAGUUUGCAAGUUUGAGGCAAAAAGGCUUUGUGCUCUUGUGGUAAGAUCAUCAGGGAACAGCUCUCUGGAGGUGGUGCAGUGCAUAAGAGAGAAACUGGCUAGUGGUGGAAAUAAUACACUCCUUGGAAAAAGUAAAAGGAAAAUGUAAAAUGGAGUCUACCUUCUGGAUGCAAAGAAAUUCUCAUCAUCACGUGAUAGCAAGAUAGAAAAUAUGGUGACAACAAAAUUUUGACCAUUUAUAAAUAAUAAGUGAACUUCCAAAAAAGAAGGGAAAUGUUUGGAGACCAAAAUUAAGAGAAGCCACAAUGGUUUUGAUAUCAGGAUGAUGCUGGCCUCAUAAAAUGAGUUAG
RNAcentral lists this long non-coding RNA (4419 nucleotides) under Homo sapiens (human). Its description in RNAcentral is "HSALNT0293026". The record is from RNAcentral. Lineage: Eukaryota; Metazoa; Chordata; Mammalia; Primates; Hominidae.